GCUGGGCUUGGUGGUGCAAGCCUGUAAUCCCAGCAGCUCAGAAGGCUGAGGCAGGAGGAUCAUGAGUUCAAAGCCAGCCUCAGCAAAGGCGAGGCACUAAGUAACUCAGUGGCACCCUGUCUCUA
RNAcentral lists this small RNA (125 nucleotides) under Marmota monax (woodchuck). The record is from RNAcentral. Lineage: Eukaryota; Metazoa; Chordata; Mammalia; Rodentia; Sciuridae.